AGCAUCAUAAAGUGCUCAUGUUAGCUGUGUUCCUGGAGGAGUUAUGCUUUUGGAAGUCAGUUGAAAUUUGAUGGGAGUGGAGAUCUGAGAAGCAGUUGUUGGUAUGGACCAAACAUGUGCACAUGUUGUCAUGUUUUAAUAUAAGAAAUUCUCCUUUCUGUCCAGCAUCCGAAGAGAGCACAUUUCAUAGCGAUUGCUCUGGCAAGUCAAAGUUGCAGCCUUUCUCAUGACAGCUUUCCCUCUACUACAACAAACUCAUCCUCUUUGGAGACAAGCCUGGCCUUCCACUGAUACCAGUAAAUCUGCAGAGCUUCAAACAGUUCCACAGCACAGUAUUAUCCAGACUGGGGUGUGCAGCCUUAUUUGUUUGCCUGAAGCUAUGUGGUUAAUAAAUGACUCUUCUAUGGCUUUGUCCACAUUUCUGCUUGUGAGAGCAAAGAAUUACCCAGGCAAGCACAAAGGAAACCAUGAACAUGAGGUAAUCAGCCACAAGUUAUGCAGAAGUCAGUUAGCCGUCAAGCCACAGCUGUAGCGAGUAGUAGGAGUAACUUAAGAGCAGAAGGUAAAGGCAAAUUUAAACAAAAGUGCUGCAUCUUAACUCUUCCACACUGACACCUUACCACCAUGUCUUUAGAUCUGGAAAAGCUUUUAGGAUAACCUUUCCAAGAAGUAGAAGAGAAAGAAGAGAACCAAUGUAGUCUGUCAGUUCUUCCAAGCAAAUGCAGCCUUCUCCAGCUGACCUCAGUCUCUUAGCAUGAACAGUUUGUGUCCUCUUUCCAUUCUGCCAGCAGCUGUGCACAUUCAAACCCUUACUUUGUAUGAAUCAUGCACGAGUGGAAGCCUCUGAGUUUUAUGUCCCUUUGAGUGGUUCUUUGCCUACAUUGGAACAAAAUGUCUAUUUAUUACUGCAGCUUUUCAGGGAUCACCUGCAUUGAGGUGGUCUGGGCAACCAUGGGUGGAAUCAAGUCACAGGACUGUUGGUUUUUUUCCUAAGCUAUUAAUUAACAGAACAUUUUAAAUAUUAAUCCAUUCAGACACAUAUAGCCUUCACAGUGCAGUAUCCAAAGACACCAAGGAUAUGACAACAUAUUGCAGUAAGGAAACAACCUGUCACUUACACAGGGGUUAUUCAGACACAAUAUUUUGUCACUUGGCACUAAGUAUUGAUAAUGCGGGCAGCUUACAUCACUAUAUUUGCAAUGUAAAUAAAUGAAUUUCAAGGUUCUACUGCUGUCUAAGAAGGUUUACACCUAGAGGUGGACUCUUCUGAAGUUCAUCUCCCUUGAAAGUAGCUGUAUAUCAUUGCUUUGGACAAAAAGUCAGCAUGGAAAUUUGAUAGGAAGCAGUUAGACACAGAAGAAUUCUGCAGGACAUUAAAAGCAAAAUUUUAGGACUGUGGAGGCAAAUUUAGAAGGUUGAAGGCUGUGGCUAUCUUGCAGACUGGUGAUUUAAGAUAUUUAAGGUCUUCACUCAUAAAAUAGAGUUGGCUCAGGUUACCUCUUACAAGCUGUUCUCUACACACACAGAAUAUUAUGAGGCUCAAAACUACUAUGACAAUGAAAGCAGUUACAGACGCUGCAAUCCAGAUGUGCAGCUUCCAGGAUAAAUAUCAUACUUGUUUAUAACCAGACUUUGGGAGUAGCAGCAAAGCUGAAUGAAACACAUUUGGACCUUACAAAAAAAAAAAAAAAA
Molecule: long non-coding RNA, 1692 nt
Organism: Meleagris gallopavo (turkey)
Lineage: Eukaryota; Metazoa; Chordata; Aves; Galliformes; Phasianidae
Source: Ensembl